This 1554-nucleotide ribosomal RNA is filed under the name Klebsiella variicola. Its description in RNAcentral is "bacterial SSU rRNA". It matches the Rfam family "Bacterial small subunit ribosomal RNA". Lineage: Bacteria; Pseudomonadati; Pseudomonadota; Gammaproteobacteria; Enterobacterales; Enterobacteriaceae. The record is from RNAcentral.
ACUUAAAUUGAAGAGUUUGAUCAUGGCUCAGAUUGAACGCUGGCGGCAGGCCUAACACAUGCAAGUCGAGCGGUAGCACAGAGAGCUUGCUCUCGGGUGACGAGCGGCGGACGGGUGAGUAAUGUCUGGGAAACUGCCUGAUGGAGGGGGAUAACUACUGGAAACGGUAGCUAAUACCGCAUAACGUCGCAAGACCAAAGUGGGGGACCUUCGGGCCUCAUGCCAUCAGAUGUGCCCAGAUGGGAUUAGCUAGUAGGUGGGGUAAUGGCUCACCUAGGCGACGAUCCCUAGCUGGUCUGAGAGGAUGACCAGCCACACUGGAACUGAGACACGGUCCAGACUCCUACGGGAGGCAGCAGUGGGGAAUAUUGCACAAUGGGCGCAAGCCUGAUGCAGCCAUGCCGCGUGUGUGAAGAAGGCCUUCGGGUUGUAAAGCACUUUCAGCGGGGAGGAAGGCGGUGAGGUUAAUAACCUCACCGAUUGACGUUACCCGCAGAAGAAGCACCGGCUAACUCCGUGCCAGCAGCCGCGGUAAUACGGAGGGUGCAAGCGUUAAUCGGAAUUACUGGGCGUAAAGCGCACGCAGGCGGUCUGUCAAGUCGGAUGUGAAAUCCCCGGGCUCAACCUGGGAACUGCAUUCGAAACUGGCAGGCUAGAGUCUUGUAGAGGGGGGUAGAAUUCCAGGUGUAGCGGUGAAAUGCGUAGAGAUCUGGAGGAAUACCGGUGGCGAAGGCGGCCCCCUGGACAAAGACUGACGCUCAGGUGCGAAAGCGUGGGGAGCAAACAGGAUUAGAUACCCUGGUAGUCCACGCUGUAAACGAUGUCGAUUUGGAGGUUGUGCCCUUGAGGCGUGGCUUCCGGAGCUAACGCGUUAAAUCGACCGCCUGGGGAGUACGGCCGCAAGGUUAAAACUCAAAUGAAUUGACGGGGGCCCGCACAAGCGGUGGAGCAUGUGGUUUAAUUCGAUGCAACGCGAAGAACCUUACCUGGUCUUGACAUCCACAGAACUUUCCAGAGAUGGAUUGGUGCCUUCGGGAACUGUGAGACAGGUGCUGCAUGGCUGUCGUCAGCUCGUGUUGUGAAAUGUUGGGUUAAGUCCCGCAACGAGCGCAACCCUUAUCCUUUUUUGCCAGCGGUCCGGCCGGGAACUCAAAGGAGACUGCCAGUGAUAAACUGGAGGAAGGUGGGGAUGACGUCAAGUCAUCAUGGCCCUUACGACCAGGGCUACACACGUGCUACAAUGGCAUAUACAAAGAGAAGCGACCUCGCGAGAGCAAGCGGACCUCAUAAAGUAUGUCGUAGUCCGGAUUGGAGUCUGCAACUCGACUCCAUGAAGUCGGAAUCGCUAGUAAUCGUAGAUCAGAAUGCUACGGUGAAUACGUUCCCGGGCCUUGUACACACCGCCCGUCACACCAUGGGAGUGGGUUGCAAAAGAAGUAGGUAGCUUAACCUUCGGGAGGGCGCUUACCACUUUGUGAUUCAUGACUGGGGUGAAGUCGUAACAAGGUAACCGUAGGGGAACCUGCGGUUGGAUCACCUCCUUACCUUAAAGAA